AGUGAACGCUGGCGGUAGGCCUAACACAUGCAAGUCGAACGGCAGCACAGUAAGAGCUUGCUCUUACGGGUGGCGAGUGGCGGACGGGUGAGGAAUACAUCGGAAUCUACUUUUUCGAGGGUGAUAACGUAGGGAAACUUACGCUAAUACCGCAUACGACCUACGGGUGAAAGCAGGGGAUCUUCGGACCUUGCGCGAUUGAAUGAGCCGAUGUCGGAUUAGCUAGUUGGCGGGGUAAAGGCCCACCAAGGCGACGAUCCGUAGCUGGUCUGAGAGGAUGAUCAGCCACACUGGAACUGAGACACGGUCCAGACUCCUACGGGAGGCAGCAGUGGGGAAUAUUGGACAAUGGGCGAAAGCCUGAUCCAGCCAUGCCGCGUGGGUGAAGAAGGCCUUCGGGUUGUAAAGCACUUUUGUUGGGAAAGAAAAGCAGCAGGUUAAUACCCCGCUGUUCUGACGGUACCCAAAGAAUAAGCACCGGCUAACUUCGUG
RNAcentral lists this ribosomal RNA (492 nucleotides) under uncultured bacterium. RNAcentral's name for it is "partial 16S ribosomal RNA". It matches the Rfam family "Bacterial small subunit ribosomal RNA", at positions 29 to 507 of the family's 1533-position model. The record is from RNAcentral.